Molecule: transfer RNA, 61 nt
Filed under: Ictidomys tridecemlineatus (thirteen-lined ground squirrel)
Lineage: Eukaryota; Metazoa; Chordata; Mammalia; Rodentia; Sciuridae
Description: Spermophilus tridecemlineatus (thirteen-lined ground squirrel) tRNA
Rfam family: tRNA
About the family: Transfer RNA (tRNA) molecules are approximately 80 nucleotides in length. Their secondary structure includes four short double-helical elements and three loops (D, anti-codon, and T loops). Further hydrogen bonds mediate the characteristic L-shaped molecular structure. tRNAs have two regions of fundamental functional importance: the anti-codon, which is responsible for specific mRNA codon recognition, and the 3' end, to which the tRNAs corresponding amino acid is attached (by aminoacyl-tRNA synthetases). tRNAs cope with the degeneracy of the genetic code in two manners: having more than one tRNA (with a specific anti-codon) for a particular amino acid; and 'wobble' base-pairing, i.e. permitting non-standard base-pairing at the 3rd anti-codon position.
Source: Rfam by way of RNAcentral
UGUGGCUCAGUAGUAGAGCACUUGCCUAGCAUGUGUGAGGUACUGGGUUCAAUUCCCAGCA